ACGGAAGGCAGCAGUGAGGAAUAUUGGUCAAUGGGCGGAAGCCUGAACCAGCCAAGUCGCGUGAAGGAUGAAGGUAUUAUGUAUUGUAAACUUCUUUAGCAGCAGAGUAAUAAGGGGGUCGUGACCCCCGAUGCAAGUAUGCUGAAAAUAAGGAUCGGCUAACUCCGUGCCAGCAGCCGCGGUAAUACGGAGGAUCCGAGCGUUAUCCGGAUUUAUUGGGUUUAAAGGGUGCGCAGGCGGUUUUUUAAGUCAGUGGUUAAAUCGUGAGGCUCAACCUCAUCACGCCAUUGAUACUGGAAGACUUGAUUGCGGUUGAGGUUGGCGGAAUUCGUCGUGUAGCGGUGAAAUGCAUAGAUAUGACGAAGAACACCGAUUGCGUAGGCAGCUUACCAGGCCGUUAAUGACGCUCAUGCACGAAAGUGCGGGGAUCGAACAGGAUUAGAUACCCUGGUA
Molecule: ribosomal RNA, 453 nt
Filed under: uncultured Porphyromonadaceae bacterium
Lineage: Bacteria; Pseudomonadati; Bacteroidota; Bacteroidia; Bacteroidales; Porphyromonadaceae
Description: partial 16S ribosomal RNA
Rfam family: Bacterial small subunit ribosomal RNA
Source: RNAcentral